This 1715-nucleotide ribosomal RNA is filed under the name Salmonella enterica. Its description in RNAcentral is "partial 23S ribosomal RNA". It matches the Rfam family "Bacterial large subunit ribosomal RNA", at positions 1154 to 2824 of the family's 2925-position model. The record is from RNAcentral. RNAcentral also lists the same sequence under 1 other name. Lineage: Bacteria; Pseudomonadati; Pseudomonadota; Gammaproteobacteria; Enterobacterales; Enterobacteriaceae.
CGUAUCACCCAAGACAACUUUACGGAGUUGACGAUUGACGGAGCGAAGCGACGUCAAAGCGUUCAUUAAAGUCGAGUUGGCUUAGGGAUACGUUCGUUGGGUAGGGGAGCGUUCUGUAAGCCUGUGAAGGUGUGUCGUGAGGCAUGCUGGAGGUAUCAGAAGUGCGAAUGCUGACAUAAGUAACGAUAAAGCGGGUGAAAAGCCCGCUCGCCGGAAGACCAAGGGUUCCUGUCCAACGUUAAUCGGGGCAGGGUGAGUCGACCCCUAAGGCGAGGCCGAAAGGCGUAGUCGAUGGGAAACGGGUUAAUAUUCCCGUACUUGGUGUUACUGCGAAGGGGGGACGGAGAAGGCUAUGUUGGCCGGGCGACGGUUGUCCCGGUUUAAGCGUGUAGGUGUGUGUUCCAGGUAAAUCCGGUUCACUUUAACACUGAGGCGUGACGACGAGGCACUACGGUGCUGAAGCAACAAAUGCCCUGCUUCCAGGAAAAGCCUCUAAGCAUCAGGUAACACGAAAUCGUACCCCAAACCGACACAGGUGGUCAGGUAGAGAAUACCAAGGCGCUUGAGAGAACUCGGGUGAAGGAACUAGGCAAAAUGGUGCCGUAACUUCGGGAGAAGGCACGCUGACACGUAGGUGAAGUGAUUUACUCAUGGAGCUGAAGUCAGUCGAAGAUACCAGCUGGCUGCAACUGUUUAUUAAAAACACAGCACUGUGCAAACACGAAAGUGGACGUAUACGGUGUGACGCCUGCCCGGUGCCGGAAGGUUAAUUGAUGGGGUCAGCGCAAGCGAAGCUCCUGAUCGAAGCCCCGGUAAACGGCGGCCGUAACUAUAACGGUCCUAAGGUAGCGAAAUUCCUUGUCGGGUAAGUUCCGACCUGCACGAAUGGCGUAAUGAUGGCCAGGCUGUCUCCACCCGAGACUCAGUGAAAUUGAACUCGCUGUGAAGAUGCAGUGUACCCGCGGCAAGACGGAAAGACCCCGUGAACCUUUACUAUAGCUUGACACUGAACAUUGAGCCUUGAUGUGUAGGAUAGGUGGGAGGCUUUGAAGUGUGGACGCCAGUCUGCAUGGAGCCGACCUUGAAAUACCACCCUUUAAUGUUUGAUGUUCUAACGUGGACCCGUAAUCCGGGUUGCGGACAGUGUCUGGUGGGUAGUUUGACUGGGGCGGUCUCCUCCUAAAGAGUAACGGAGGAGCACGAAGGUUGGCUAAUCCUGGUCGGACAUCAGGAGGUUAGUGCAAUGGCAUAAGCCAGCUUGACUGCGAGCGUGACGGCGCGAGCAGGUGCGAAAGCAGGUCAUAGUGAUCCGGUGGUUCUGAAUGGAAGGGCCAUCGCUCAACGGAUAAAAGGUACUCCGGGGAUAACAGGCUGAUACCGCCCAAGAGUUCAUAUCGACGGCGGUGUUUGGCACCUCGAUGUCGGCUCAUCACAUCCUGGGGCUGAAGUAGGUCCCAAGGGUAUGGCUGUUCGCCAUUUAAAGUGGUACGCGAGCUGGGUUUAGAACGUCGUGAGACAGUUCGGUCCCUAUCUGCCGUGGGCGCUGGAGAACUGAGGGGGGCUGCUCCUAGUACGAGAGGACCGGAGUGGACGCAUCACUGGUGUUCGGGUUGUCAUGCCAAUGGCACUGCCCGGUAGCUAAAUGCGGAAGAGAUAAGUGCUGAAAGCAUCUAAGCACGAAACUUGCCCCGAGAUGAGUUCUCCCUGAGACUUAG